This 440-nucleotide ribosomal RNA is filed under the name uncultured bacterium. RNAcentral's name for it is "partial 16S ribosomal RNA". It matches the Rfam family "Bacterial small subunit ribosomal RNA", at positions 338 to 795 of the family's 1533-position model. The record is from RNAcentral.
CCUACGGGAGGCAGCAGUGGGGAAUAUUACACAAUGGGGGAAACCCUGAUGCAGCGACGCCACGUGAGGGAAGAAGUAUUUCGGUAUGGUAAGCUCUAUCAGCAGGGGAGAAAAUUACGGUACCUGAGUAAGAAGCUCCGUCUAAAUUCGUGCCAGCAGCCGCGGUUAUACGGAUGGAGCAAGCGUUAUCCGGAUUUACUGUGCGUAAGGGGAGCGUAGGCGGCCUGCAAAGUCUGUUGUUAAAUGCCGGGGCUCAACCCCAGGGGUGCAAUUGAAACUGGCAGGCUGGAGUACCGGCGAGGUAGGCGGAAUUCGUAGUGUAGCGGUGAAAUGCGUAGAUAUUAGGAAGAACACCGGUGGCGAAGGCGGCCUGCUGAACUGUGACUGACACUGAGGCUCGAAAGCGUGGGUAGCAAACAGGAUUAGAUACCCCUGUAGUC